UACGUAGGGGGCAAGCGUUGUCCGGAUUUACUGGGCGUAAAGAGCGUGUAGGCGGCCACGCAGGUCCGUUGUGAAAACUGGAGGCUCAACCUUCAGACGUCGACGGAAACCGUGUGGCUAGAGUCCGGAAGAGGAGAGUGGAAUUCCUGGUGUAGCGGUGAAAUGCGCAGAUAUCAGGAAGAACACCAAUGGCGAAGGCAGCUCUCUGGGACGGUACUGACGCUGAGACACGAAAGCCAGGGGAGCAAACGGG
This 253-nucleotide ribosomal RNA is filed under the name uncultured bacterium. RNAcentral describes it as "partial 16S ribosomal RNA". It matches the Rfam family "Bacterial small subunit ribosomal RNA", at positions 524 to 776 of the family's 1533-position model. The record is from RNAcentral.